Podarcis lilfordi (Lilford's wall lizard) is the source of this 75-nucleotide non-coding RNA. The record is from the annotation of a GenBank genome assembly. NCBI's taxonomy places the organism in Eukaryota, Metazoa, Chordata, Lepidosauria, Squamata, Lacertidae.
GCUGAGCAGUGGCUCAGCCGGUAGAGCAUCAGACUCUUAAUCUCAGGGUCAUGGUUUCGAGCCCCACGUUGAGCA